Molecule: ribosomal RNA, 468 nt
Filed under: uncultured bacterium
Lineage: Bacteria
Description: partial 16S ribosomal RNA
Rfam family: Bacterial small subunit ribosomal RNA
Source: RNAcentral
GACGAACGCUGGCGGCGUGCUUAACACAUGCAAGUCGAACGGAAAGGCCCUGCUUUUGUGGGGUGCUCGAGUGGCGAACGGGGGAGUAACACGCGAGUAACCUGCCCUUGACUUUGGGAUAACUUCAGGAAACUGGGGCUAAUAUCCGAUAGGAGCUCCUGCUGCAUGGUGGGGGUUGGAAAGUUUCGGCUGUUGGGGAUGGACUCGCGGCUUAUGAGCUUGUUGGUGGGGUAGUGGCUUACCAAGGCUUCGACGGGUAGCCGGCCUGGGAGGGUGACCGGCCACAUUGGGCCUGCGAUACGGCCCAGACUCCUACGGGAGGCAGCAGUGGGGAAUAUUGCACAAUGGGCGGACGCCUGAUGCGGCGACGCCGCGUGCGGGAUGACGGCCUUCGGGUUGUAAACCGCUUUCGCCUGUGACGAAGCGUGAGUGACGGUAAUGGGUAAAGAAGCACCGGCUAACUACGUG